CGACGGGUAGCUGGUCUGAGAGGACGAUCAGCCACACUGGGACUGAGACACGGCCCAGACUCCUACGGGAGGCAGCAGUGGGGAAUAUUGCGCAAUGGGCGGAAGCCUGACGCAGCGACGCCGCGUGGGGGAUGAAGGCCUUCGGGUUGUAAACCCCUUUCACCAGGAGCGAAUCCAGACGGUACCUGGGGAAGAAGCGCCGGCUAACUACGUGCCAGCAGCCGCGGUAAUACGUAGGGCGCAAGCGUUGUCCGGAAUUAUUGGGCGUAAAGAGCUCGUAGGCGGCCUGUCGCGUCCGCUGUGAAAUCCUGGGGCUUAACCCCGGGCGUGCAGUGGAUACGGGCUGGCUGGAGGCAGGCAGGGGAGAACGGAAUUCCCGGUGUAGCGGUGAAAUGCGCAGAUAUCGGGAGGAACACCGGUGGCGAAGGCGGUUCUCUGGGCCUGUUCUGACGCUGAGGAGCGAAAGCGUGGGGAGCGAACAGGAUUAGAUACCCUGGUAGUCCACGCCGUAAACGUUGGGCGCUAGGUGUGGGUCCCUUCCACGGGGUCUGUGCCGCAGCU
RNAcentral lists this ribosomal RNA (561 nucleotides) under uncultured bacterium. Its description in RNAcentral is "bacterial SSU rRNA". It matches the Rfam family "Bacterial small subunit ribosomal RNA", at positions 277 to 853 of the family's 1533-position model. The record is from RNAcentral.